CCCUAAAUGAGAACAGGAGUGGGGAGGGUAUCAAGUUCAUCAAGAUGAUACACAUGACCCUAGGCUACAGGUCUGGCCAUGUCCUUCAGUUGCUGAAGGCAGUCCUUCAUAAGGUGCUGAGUGCUUCCGCACUUAUAGUAGGCGUUGUUCAAAUGCCGAUGAGGCUAAUCACCAUGAAAGCGACCACAAUGCUGGCAUGGUUGGGAAGGUGGGGUAAGUUAUCAAAUAGGUGGAGAUAGAGCA
RNAcentral lists this long non-coding RNA (243 nucleotides) under Carica papaya (papaya). RNAcentral's name for it is "long non-coding RNA (CPAP_LNC003078)". The record is from RNAcentral. Lineage: Eukaryota; Viridiplantae; Streptophyta; Magnoliopsida; Brassicales; Caricaceae.